RNAcentral lists this long non-coding RNA (779 nucleotides) under Mus musculus (house mouse). RNAcentral describes it as "long non-coding RNA chr18:36342361-36343140". Lineage: Eukaryota; Metazoa; Chordata; Mammalia; Rodentia; Muridae. The record is from RNAcentral.
AAGGUUAAAGAGCAGGAAGAUGUUUCAGAGUUGUUGGGGCUUUAUUGUAGUCAGCUGAGACCCAGCCCAGGAGAAAAAUGUGCACUCCUCUGGGACUGGCUCCUCUAAGAUCACUAUCAGGAUGCCGGGCCAUGUAGGAAUCAAUGUUUCAGAGGGUUAGAGUUUGAAAUGCCUGCAUUUAUGUGCUACCCCUUGAGAGCCCCAGAGGCUGUACAAACACACUCAGGGCAUUAAGUGCUCCUUGAAGUGCCUUCCUCAGAAACUAUGCUUUCAGAGAAAGAUACAUUUCCGUAAAGCCAAACCCCAGUCCAUGGCUCUCAGUGGCUGUCUCCGAGUGCCGGAGGUGCCUCCCCAUUGGAUGUCCCGUUGCUGGAACACCAGAGAAGGUGAGUGAUUCUCAAGUGAAUCGAAGCCUAUUAGAAUAGCCUAUGACAUAAGCCUUCUAGAAUUUUCAAUGGGCUGAUGCUUGUAGUGUUGGCGGCCUGUAGGGGUCAGCUCCUACUUUUGGCUACUGAACUCCCACGUUCCUUGGGAAGCCAUUUCUUCCUCCUGUGAAAUUUAAGGAGAAUGAGUUUAUGUCUAGCUCCAGAGGAGAACACAGGACCAGCCAAGGCUUCACACCCCUGCCUACAAGCACGCAUUCAGAAGAAAGCCAGUUCCAUACGCCAUUCAAACCCAAGAUUCCAUCCUGGAGCUUCCCGGGUGCUGUUGGAAGCCUUUAGUCUAUGAGACUCUCAGCUGGGAGAAAGUCCUCAGAUGCUGAGGGACUGCCUGCCUCA